CGUCAAAACCACUGUAGGGAGUCAGGAAUUGCAAUUCAAUCAGAAAUCUGAGGGGACCGGACAUGUAAAUGAGGGGGCCUAGGCCCACCCAGGCCCCCUCGUGGCUACGCCACUGCUCCUCACGUAGCCACAUGUCAGCUCUACCAGAUAGGGAAGUGUACAGGAUAGAUAAAGCCUGAAGAUGGCAGUAAUGCAGCUCAAUGGAUGCCAGCUGCCAUAAAAAUCCAAAGAAGAAAAAGAAGAAUUCUGUGAUUCAAGUGUUGUGACUGUCCUUCAUUUGUUGGUUUACUUGCUUGCUCUUGUGUUGUACAACAUUAAGACUGUUCUUAUUGUUCUCCAAGCUAAAGCUUAUUGUAGCCUACUACCACGUCUUUUUGUGUUUAUUGUUGUGACUUUAUUCUUGAAUACCAAACGGUCUGGAAGCUGUAGGGAGGUGGGUGCCUAUUUUAAUUUUUGUAAUACCUUUUCUCCUGUUUUUGGCUAGUUAGGGAUUAGUGUAACUUUCUGUUGUUUAUUUGUUUCCUUUUGACAGAUUAAUACUAGUCAGAGGGUAUUUGUGUUCAUUAUUUUGGCUUUACCCCCUCCUGAGGUUUGCUUGGUUCAUUUCUUUUUGUUUCAUUUUGUCAAUUGUACAUACUCUGUUAAUAAAUUUGAGUUGAAUUGGA
Molecule: non-coding RNA, 665 nt
Organism: Pimephales promelas (fathead minnow)
Lineage: Eukaryota; Metazoa; Chordata; Actinopteri; Cypriniformes; Leuciscidae
Source: RefSeq, a predicted model, not a curated record